This 253-nucleotide ribosomal RNA is filed under the name uncultured bacterium. RNAcentral's name for it is "partial 16S ribosomal RNA". It matches the Rfam family "Bacterial small subunit ribosomal RNA", at positions 524 to 776 of the family's 1533-position model. The record is from RNAcentral.
UACGUAGGCAGCAAGCGUUGUUCGGAGUUACUGGGCGUAAAGGGUGUGUAGGCGGUUCUUUAAGUUUGGUGUGAAAUCUCCCGGCUCAACCGGGAGGGUGCGCCGAAUACUGAGGGACUAGAGUGCGGGAGAGGAAUGUGGAAUUCCUGGUGUAGCGGUGAAAUGCGUAGAUAUCAGGAGGAACACCGGUGGUGUAGACGGCUUUCUGGACCGUAACUGACGCUGAGACACGAAAGCGUGGGUAGCAAACAGG